RNAcentral lists this ribosomal RNA (445 nucleotides) under uncultured bacterium. RNAcentral's name for it is "bacterial SSU rRNA". It matches the Rfam family "Bacterial small subunit ribosomal RNA", at positions 354 to 796 of the family's 1533-position model. The record is from RNAcentral.
GUGAGGAAUAUUGGACAAUGGGCGCAAGCCUGAUCCAGCCAUGCCGCGUGCAGGAUGACGGUCCUAUGGAUUGUAAACUGCUUUUGCACAGGAAGAAACAACAUUACGUGUAAUGUCUUGACGGUACUGUGAGAAUAAGGAUCGGCUAACUCCGUGCCAGCAGCCGCGGUAAUACGGAGGAUCCAAGCGUUAUCCGGAAUCAUUGGGUUUAAAGGGUCCGUAGGCGGUUUAGUAAGUCAGUGGUGAAAGCCCAUCGCUCAACGGUGGAACGGCCAUUGAUACUGCUAAACUUGAAUUAUUAGGAAGUAACUAGAAUAUGUAGUGUAGCGGUGAAAUGCUUAGAGAUUACAUGGAAUACCAAUUGCGAAGGCAGGUUACUACUAAUUGAUUGACGCUGAUGGACGAAAGCGUGGGUAGCGAACAGGAUUAGAUACCCCAGUAGUCC